CCUACCAAGGCGAUGAUGCAUAGCCCGAGUUGAGAGACUGAUCGGGCCACAUUGGGGACUGAGACACGGGCCCAAAACUCCGUACGGGGAGGCAGCAGUAGGGAAUCUUCCACAAUGGACGCAAGUCUGAUGGAGCAACGCCGCGUGAGUGAAGUAAGGGUUUCGGCUACGUAAAGCUCUGUUGUUGGUGAAAGAAGGACGAGGGGUAGUAACUGACCUUUUGUUUGACGGUAAUCAAUUAGAAAGUCACGGCUAACUACGUGCCAGCAGCCGCGGUAAU
Molecule: ribosomal RNA, 280 nt
Filed under: uncultured Bacillota bacterium
Lineage: Bacteria; Bacillati; Bacillota
Description: uncultured Firmicutes bacterium partial 16S ribosomal RNA
Rfam family: Bacterial small subunit ribosomal RNA
Source: RNAcentral